AGUCACUGACAUUAGAUACCCGCGUAGUCCAGGGUGUAAACGCUGCAGACUUGGUGUUGGAAGCCCUUUGGGGCAUUCAGUGCCGGAGAGAAGUUGUUAAGUCUGCUACUUGGGGAGUACGUCCGCAAGGAUGAAACUUAAAGGAAUUGGCGGGGAGCACCGCAACGGGAGGAGCGUGCGGUUUAAUUGGAUUCAACACCGUAAACUCACCAGGGAAGACUGUUACAUGAAGGCCGAGAUGAAGACUCUGCCAGAUUUUCAG
This 262-nucleotide ribosomal RNA is filed under the name uncultured archaeon. RNAcentral's name for it is "partial 16S ribosomal RNA". It matches the Rfam family "Archaeal small subunit ribosomal RNA", at positions 716 to 982 of the family's 1478-position model. The record is from RNAcentral.